Non-coding RNA from Carica papaya (papaya), 1022 nucleotides. The record is from RefSeq and is a predicted model, not a curated record. Lineage: Eukaryota; Viridiplantae; Streptophyta; Magnoliopsida; Brassicales; Caricaceae.
UUCAUUCACUUCUCUAUCCAUGGCCACUCUCUCCUUCUCCCUUCUCCAUCCUCUCUCCUCUCCACCUCCUCCUCCUUCUUCAACUUCCUCAGCCAUUCAUCUUCUUCCUCAACUCUCUCUCGCCAAACCGGACGUCUCUGCUUUUCUCCGUUUUCACAAACCGAAUCGGAGGAAUCUGCUUUACCACAACUCCGACAGGUUCGUUCUCCAUCCAAUUUUCUUGCUCGCUGGCUUCGACAGGCCUUUGGAUACUCAAACCUUCCUUGUCACUAUCAGUGUCUUGGUCGCCAUUGCGCUCUCUCUCUUCCUCGGCCUCAAGGGAGAUCCUCUUCCUUGUGAGAGGUGUGGUGGAAAUGGUGGCACAAAAUGUGUAUUUUGUGAAAACGGUAAGAUGAUGCAGGAAACACGAAUGGUUGACUGUAAAGUAUGCAAGGGUGCAGGUCUGAUAUUCUGCAAGAAGUGUGGAGGUUCUGGAUAUUCCAGGCGUCUGUGAGCUCUACUCUGCUCUCAUCAAUGGUAUACAUGCUAGAUCUGGGGUUCACCUUCACCUGUUCCAUUCAUCUCAGCAGGGUAGCUGCAUCCAAGUCACCCUAGAUUAUGGAGUGAAUUAUUUAGCGAAUCGAUGGAGAAGGUUAAAGAGCAGGCGAAUGGAGUUUGCUCUCAGCAACCUUUCGUCUUCUCCUCCUGUCAUAUCCGCAAAUGCACAAAACUACACACCAUUAACCCCAUUAUAACAUAUUCCAAGCUCCACGUCAAUGGCCGACUCCACCUUAACUCUUCCCUUGUUCGUUUCCUCUCCAAUUUCUUCUCUUUUCUCCUUAUAUUACAGCCCCCAUGUUUUUGUCUCGCCGGAUCGUAUCCAUCACACAAAUUACAGACAUGUCUAACACCACAGGUGCUGCUCCUUUUUACGAAGUCGAUGAAUGCCGUGGAGUCCUCCGCGUUUACAGCGACGGCUCCGUUUGGCGGUCCACGAAACCAAGUUUCAAUAUUCCUGUUCAUGACGACGGCUCUGUUUUAUG